GCUCCCGUAUCCCAACAGGAAGAGGAAUCCGGCUCAAAACCGGAACAGUGAGAGUUCAACUCUCUCCGGGAGUA
Molecule: transfer RNA, 74 nt
Filed under: Eubacteriales bacterium
Lineage: Bacteria; Bacillati; Bacillota; Clostridia; Eubacteriales
Description: tRNA-Leu
Rfam family: tRNA
About the family: Transfer RNA (tRNA) molecules are approximately 80 nucleotides in length. Their secondary structure includes four short double-helical elements and three loops (D, anti-codon, and T loops).
Source: RNAcentral